UCACAGACUAUACAUUGAUGGUCCAUUUGGAAGUCCAUUUGAGGAAUCACUGAACUAUGAGGUUAGCCUUUGUGUGGCUGGAGGCAUUGGAGUAACUCCAUUUGCAUCAAUACUCAACACCCUGAUGGAUGACUGGAAACCAUACAAGCUUAGAAGACUGUAUUUUAUUUGGGUGUGCAGAGACAUUCAAUCCUUCCAUUGGUUUGCAGACUUACUUUGUAUGUUGCAUAACAAGUUUUGGCAAGAGAACAGACCUGACUAUGUCAACAUCCAGCUGUACCUCAGUCAAACAGAUGGGAUACAG
This is a non-coding RNA of Castor canadensis (American beaver), 304 nucleotides long. The record is from RefSeq and is a predicted model, not a curated record. NCBI's taxonomy places the organism in Eukaryota, Metazoa, Chordata, Mammalia, Rodentia, Castoridae.